This 168-nucleotide ribosomal RNA is filed under the name Limosilactobacillus reuteri. RNAcentral's name for it is "Lactobacillus reuteri partial 23S ribosomal RNA". It matches the Rfam family "Bacterial large subunit ribosomal RNA", at positions 2759 to 2925 of the family's 2925-position model. Lineage: Bacteria; Bacillati; Bacillota; Bacilli; Lactobacillales; Lactobacillaceae. The record is from RNAcentral.
GAGAUAAACGCUGAAAGCAUCUAAGUGUGAAACUCGCCUCGAGAUGAGAUUUCCCAUUUCCUUCGGGAAAGUAAGACCCCUCAGAGAUGAUGAGGUAGAUAGGAUGGAAGUGGAAGUGCCGUGAGGCAUGGAGCGGACCAUUACUAAUCGGUCGAGGACUUAACCAAG